Molecule: ribosomal RNA, 253 nt
Filed under: uncultured bacterium
Lineage: Bacteria
Description: partial 16S ribosomal RNA
Rfam family: Bacterial small subunit ribosomal RNA
Source: RNAcentral
UACAGAGACUGCAAGCGUUGUUCGGAUUCAUUGGGCGUAAAGGGUGCGCAGGCGGUGUGCUAAGUCGGAUGUGAAAUCUCACAGCCUAACUGUGAUAGGUCAUUCGAAACUGGCAUGCUAGAGGAUUGGAGAGGAGACUGGAAUAGUUGGUGUAGCAGUGAAAUGCGUAGAGAUCAACUAGAACACCAGUGGCGAAGGCGGCUCACUGGCCCGGUACUGACGCUGAGGUGCGAAAGCGUGGGGAGCAAACAGG